AUGCCGUGGUGUGGACACUUCCGCAAAAGCUCUUUAAAUCUCUCCCACGCGUCACUGGUAGAUUCAUCUUCAAGCUACUGGAAAGACAUAAUUUCACUUCUGAAUUU
Molecule: small nucleolar RNA, 107 nt
Organism: Humulus lupulus (European hop)
Lineage: Eukaryota; Viridiplantae; Streptophyta; Magnoliopsida; Rosales; Cannabaceae
Source: RefSeq, a predicted model, not a curated record